UGGCAUUUCUAACAGUUCAACCUCC
RNAcentral lists this non-coding RNA (25 nucleotides) under Rattus norvegicus (Norway rat). The record is from RNAcentral. Lineage: Eukaryota; Metazoa; Chordata; Mammalia; Rodentia; Muridae.